AAUUGUUUUAAAAUUGCGUGCGAAAUUUGAAAAGGUCUGACGGUGGUUUACGAGGGAAAAUUCGGAGCGCGAGGUUCAAUUCAUGGGUCAUUAGGACCAUUUCGGAAAAUCUCUCCUGCCUCCGCGACUAAACCCGUUCCUGAUAGUCGCGAUACUUGUGAGAGACGUGAGAGAGUCGUAAGAUUCGCGAAUCGUACGAGGAGAACGACGGAGGCGGCAGGAGGAGGAAGUGGGAGGUAGAAGGAGGUGAUACACAUACACGUACUCGCGAGCGAUGGGGUUCGAUGUGAACCGCUUCCAGGGCGACGUGGACGAGGAGCUCGUCUGUCCGAUAUGUUCUGGCGUGCUUGAAGACCCUGUCCAGGUGAGUAAUGUGUUACAGGCACCAGUGUGUGAACAUGCCUUUUGCCGCACGUGUAUCAACGAAUGGAUAAAUCGCCAGCCUACGUGCCCCUUGGACCGUACGCCCAUCACAUCCACUCAGCUUAGAGCAGUUCCCAGAAUCUUGAGAAAUCUGUUGGCCCGCUUGUGUAUCAAAUGCGACAACAUUAUGUACGGUUGUAACAUGGUUGUCAAGUUAGAUUGCCUGGCGAUGCAUCUCGAGCAGUGCGAAUACAAUCCGAAGAGACCAAUGCAGUGCGAGCAGGGUUGUAGCUUGAUUAUUCCCAAGAACGAACUCAAGGAUCACAACUGCGUGCGCGAGCUCCGUAAUCUGAUACAGUCGCAGCAGCAAAAACUAAGCGAUAUGAAGCGUGAACUCGAUGAACAGCAGCUGCAAAUUAAUGAACAUAAACGUGAGAUUCAUCUUUUGAAAGACUUUAUGCGCGCGCUUAGAGUAUCAAAUCCGGCGAUGCGUGCAAUUGCUGAUCAGAUGGAACGAGACGACGUCGUCAGAUGGUCCGCGUCUUUACCACGCGCUAGAGUUACGAGAUGGGGCGGUAUGAUCUCCACGCCUGACGAAUUGCUGCAGACGAUGAUCAAGAGAACUCUGUCAGAGUACAAUUGUCCACCUCAUGUGAUUGACGAGCUGAUGGAAAACUGCCACGAGAGGAAAUGGCCACCAGGUCUUAAUUCACUGGAGACUAGACAGAACUCUCGACGACAAUACGACAACUACGUGUGCAAAAGAGUACCUGGCAAACAAGCGGUGCUGGUCCUCCACUGUGAUAAUAUGCACAUGCCGGAGGAUAUGAUGGUCGAGCCUGGGUUAGUGAUGAUCUUUGCACAUGGUAUCGAGUAGAAUUGUUGGACAGCGUAUAUGAAUACGAUUAAUUAAACACCAUCGCGGGUUCAGAAACACUGAUGUCCACAUCGCUUACGUGGAGAGAACGAAUUUCCUCGACCAUAAUUUGCGAACUGAUUAAACUCGGCGUAACCCUUCCAACUGAAGCCCGGAAA
Molecule: unclassified non-coding RNA, 1398 nt
Filed under: Acromyrmex echinatior (Panamanian leafcutter ant)
Lineage: Eukaryota; Metazoa; Arthropoda; Insecta; Hymenoptera; Formicidae
Description: e3 ubiquitin-protein ligase NRDP1, transcript variant X2
Source: RNAcentral